Molecule: long non-coding RNA, 1780 nt
Filed under: Piliocolobus tephrosceles (Ugandan red Colobus)
Lineage: Eukaryota; Metazoa; Chordata; Mammalia; Primates; Cercopithecidae
Description: lncRNA (ENSPTEG00000004612.1)
Source: RNAcentral
AACGUGUUCGGUGAACUAAAAACAUAUAAAACACCCAAAACAACACUGUGAUCAUUAAUAAAAAAAAAAAACUAAAUUAAAUAAUGAGAAUGUAAAAAAAAAGAAAAAAAAAAUUAUGUUAAACAAUAAAUAUUUAAACUUAAAACUUUUUAGUGAUAAAAAAAAUUCACUUUCAUUAAACACAGAAAGUAGUUUACAUAAUAGUAGUUUACAAAAUGUAAAAAAGGAUAAUAAAUAUAAUAGUAAUAUAAAUGAAAAAGAUGAGAGUGGUAAUAAAAAUAGAAAAACAUACUACAAAGAUAGAAAAAUAAUACAUGAAGGUUGGUUAAAUAAAUGGACUAAUAUUAUAGGCAGUUAUAGGCCUCGUUAUUUUGUUCUUGAAAAUGGCAUACUCAGAUACUCAAUUGAUAAAUAUUCUCCAACAAAAGAAAAUUUUAUUUUGUCUCAUUGUACAAUCAGAGUAUGUCCAGAUGACCCAUUACACUUUGAAAUAGAUACAAACGAACAAGGUGUAUUGUACUUAAAAGCUGAUAAUUCGGAUGAAAAACAUAAAUGGUACAUAUCAUUUAAAAAGGCACAAUUUAAUUAUAGACAUGGUUAUUAUAGGAAACAAGAUUAUAUGAAAUUAAAUGGGAUUAGUGAAUGUAAUAACUCGGAAUUUUUAAAAAAUAUAAUAAAAAGUGCAAAUGUUUUUAAUAAAAAUAAAAACAUAGAUGAUAAAUUACCGGAUGACACAAAACUGAGGAACGCUCUUAUGGUUAAUAAUGUGAUAAAGGACACAAGUGAUAAUGAUAAAGGUGAUAAUGAUAGUAAAGGAAAUAAAACCAAUAAUGAAAAUAAAUUCAAUAUUGACAAUAUACAAAAUAUUAAUAAUAAUAAAAUUAAAGGCAUAAAGAACAAAAAAAAUACUAUUACUAGUAAUAAAACUAGUAGUAGUAGUAAAAAUAUAGAUGAAAAUAUGAAUCGUAAAAAUAGUACUAGUGAGAAUAAAAACGUUGUUAAUUACAACUGUAGUAAUAGUAGUCCUAACAAUAAAAUUUUUGCUAGUAAUCGUUCUAGUAUAACUAGUAAUAUUAAUACUAACAAAAACAAUGAUAAUCUAAGUGACAGUAGAGGUACAAACACAUCUAAUAAUAAAAAUGUUAUCAAUGGUAGUUGUAAUAAGAGUAGUAGCAUAUGUGAAGAAAAGGAUAUUAUUAAAAAACAGUAUGAUGAAGAAGUAUACGACCCAUAUUUCAUAAAAAAUGACACAAUAUGUAAUUAUUUUAAAAAAAUAAAUUUAGAAGAAUUAUUUAUUAGUUCAACAUAUUAUGAAGAUAAGAAUCCUACGUUAUGUUUAACAGAGAAUCUGAUGUUUUUAAAAGGAGCAAUUGAAGACAUUAUUAAAUGUUCAGAAUAUAGUGAAAGUAAAAUUGUUUUAGAAAAAAUAAGAAAAACUGGUAGUUCUAUUAAUGAUUCUAAUAAAGUAAGUUUGUUAUUAAAUAAUUUAUGUGAUUCGAUCGAAUAUAUAAACUUAGUUAUAGAUAAAUACAUAAAUAGUACUGAAAUGUUAUUAAAUGAAGAAAAAAUGCAAUCUAAAUAUAAAAACAAGUCAUUAAAACUUUUAGCUAAACAAAAUUAUUUUCUUGAAAAAUCAAAAGAUAAAGACAGUUUAAAAAAUUUAGUUAACAUAAAAGAGAUAGUAAAUAUAGAAAAUUUGAAUGAAUUAAAAAAUCGAAAACAUAUAAGCACUUUAAGUAACAUUACAAACUUAAAUGAAGAAGAAAAAGAUAAAUUAGAN